AGGAGAAGCUAAGUACUCAAUAUGCUAGAAUAAAUCUGGUUUGCAUGAUCGAAGUUAUUUUAGGAACAACUGGGAGGAAACAAGGCACAUCUUCAAAGGCAGCAUCCUAACCCUCCACCGAGUCAUUGCUCUGCAAGAUAUGGCUUGUGAGUACCAGCAGAUGCUUGAGCUUCUUAGAAAGGCCCCAUUUUUUGGCAGAUGGCGUGCUAAGCCAGGAUCCGUUGAUUCGUUUAUAGUU
Long non-coding RNA from Hordeum vulgare subsp. vulgare (domesticated barley), 238 nucleotides. RefSeq lists it as uncharacterized. The transcript is spliced from 3 exons. The record is from RefSeq and is a predicted model, not a curated record. Lineage: Eukaryota; Viridiplantae; Streptophyta; Magnoliopsida; Poales; Poaceae.